AGCGAACGCUGGCGGCAGGCCUAACACAUGCAAGUCGAACGAACCUUUCGGGGUUAGUGGCGGACGGGUGAGUAACACGUGGGAACGUGCCUUUAGGCUCGGAAUAACUCAGGGAAACUUGUGCUAAUACCGAAUGUGCCCUUCGGGGGAAAGAUUAAUCGCCUUUAGAGCGGCCCGCGUCUGAUUAGCUAGUUGGUUGAGGUAAUGGCUCACCAAGGCGACGAUCAGUAGCUGGUCUGAGAGGAUGGUCAGCCACAUUGGGACUGAGACACGGCCCAAACUCCUACGGGAGGCGGCAGUGGGGAAUCUAGCGCAAUCGGCGAAAGCCUGACGCAGCCAUGCCGGGUGAAUGAUGAAGGUCUUAGGAUAGUAAAAUUCUUUCACCGGGGACGAUAAUGACGGUACCCGGAGAAGAAGCCCCGGCUAACUUCGUG
This 434-nucleotide ribosomal RNA is filed under the name uncultured bacterium. RNAcentral describes it as "partial 16S ribosomal RNA". It matches the Rfam family "Bacterial small subunit ribosomal RNA", at positions 29 to 507 of the family's 1533-position model. The record is from RNAcentral.